UACGAAGGGUGCAAGCGUUGCUCGGAAUCAUUGGGCGUAAAGGGCAAGUAGGUGGUCUUGUUUGUCUGAGGUGAAAUCCUUGGGCUCAACCUAAGAAGUGCCUCGGAAACGGCAAGACUAGAGUCCUAGAGAGGGUCGCGGAAUUCCCGGUGUAGCGGUGAAAUGCGUAGAGAUCGGGAGGAACACCAGAGGCGAAAGCGGCGGCCUGGACAGGUACUGACACUCAACUGCGAAAGCGUGGGGAUCAAACAGG
Molecule: ribosomal RNA, 253 nt
Filed under: uncultured bacterium
Lineage: Bacteria
Description: partial 16S ribosomal RNA
Rfam family: Bacterial small subunit ribosomal RNA
Source: RNAcentral